This 323-nucleotide long non-coding RNA is filed under the name Elaeis guineensis (African oil palm). RNAcentral's name for it is "long non-coding RNA (EGUI_LNC029286)". The record is from RNAcentral. Lineage: Eukaryota; Viridiplantae; Streptophyta; Magnoliopsida; Arecales; Arecaceae.
GCCUUUGGGCCAUAUCUGUAUGCUUGCGGCUGUCAGGUCUCACGAUUUUAUUUUCUGGACUUUGACCCAAAAUGUACCUCUUGAAGGUGAGAGGAUCUCCUAUAUCAUAUAAGGCAAAGUAUGUUUAACUCACAAUUGAUGUAGGACUAAAACCCCCAUAAUAAUAUCUAAGGCUAAGAUAGGUGAGUUUUUGGCUACGAGUGAUCUCUAAUCAUGCUACAGGUCAUGAAUGCUGCCAGGAAUUUGAAGGUGAAAAUGUUUGCAAAAAAUGGAGCUCCAAAACGAUUUGGUAUAUAAACGGGAUAGCAUCAAAGGAUCCAAAU